Long non-coding RNA from Vigna angularis (adzuki bean), 1854 nucleotides. RefSeq lists it as uncharacterized. NCBI's taxonomy places the organism in Eukaryota, Viridiplantae, Streptophyta, Magnoliopsida, Fabales, Fabaceae. The record is from RefSeq and is a predicted model, not a curated record. The transcript has 2 exons.
ACAUUCACACAAUAUUAUUUAUUUAGAAGAAGUUGUACUACAUUAAUUUAAUUUGUGUGUUGAACAAUGGAAAAUUGAACAAAAUUGGCUUAGAAGCAUUACACACCACACGGCCUAGGAGCCAUUGGAAAUUCUAUUUUGCAAAGUUUUAUUUUAAGUUUAUAUUUUGUAAUGUGGUGUUAAUUUUUGUAGUGUCAUUGCUGCAACCAAAAGAACUCACGGCCAAUUCAUGCUAAAUGCCUAUCCAUUCUUUGCUAAAGAAUUGAAGCAAAAUGAUGAAGGGGACCACCUUACAAUUCAUCUCACGGCACAUGAAGUCUUAUUUCUCUUUGCAAGUGAAAUUGAAUGGGAGACAAGGAAGGGACCACCAAGUUCCAAGUAGGGGCCACGGUUUUGUCAAGAAAUUGGAAAGAGAAUAACAUGAACAAAUCACAAAACAAACAGCCCAUAUAUAUUUUAUUAAAGCUUGAUUGAAAAAGGAAGCCACUACCCCAUGGAAGUUCACGGCCAAGAGAAGUUUCAAAGUGCAGAAUUUUAUUUGAAGUAGAAAGGGGACCACCAUGUUGCAACUCACGGUCUUAAGGAAGUGGUCUGGAAACCAUACACACGACACUUAUCAAUGGCUAAAAAAUGAGACAGCUGCCACACUCACACAACCUUCUUUGCUGGAACGGAAAAUAACACCAUAAAGCUUGAAGGAUUCUUUCAUUAAAAAAUGAAGAGUAGCCCACGGUCUAGCAGCCAAGAGAAGGAGGUGCACACAGCCAGCUGGUCCAGAAGAAGAAGAAGACACCCCAGCAUCAGCAGCUUCAACCUUCCAACGUUCAACACCUUCACGGAGCAGCCACCAUGUAGAGCAGAAACUCCUCCGAUUCUUCUGGGUACAGCAGCUCACACGGGAAGCAGAAGCGUCCAGCUUUGGAGCAACCAUCCGGCAGCACCUAGCAACUACGUCCAGGGGAGAAACGGUGCAGCUGUCACUCCCAUUCUCGGUGCUGGCCUUUGCUCAAUGGUGUCACGUUUUCAUUGAUGAUGGAGAGCAUCAUUUGUAUUUCUUUUAAGCACACAUUCACGGCUAGGAAGAUGCUUCACGAUCCAGGAGUUUGGAGCUGGAGCAGCCAUCACCGAGAAGACCACUUCACCUUCUUGCAGUAGCACACGGUGGCUGCUGGAAUUAGAAGAGGAUGUCACGGCUGUUUCUAGAAAUGUUGGAAGGCAGCUGGGAGAAGAGAUGGAGGUUACGGUUUGGUGAAAGGCAUGGUAAUAGCUUACAAUCACGUCCAUCCAGAAAGAAUGGGAGCAGCCACGGACAGCAGCCAUGGAGGAGAAGAAUGGUGUGCAACACGAAGAAGAGAAGAAAAGGCAGUUGGGACAUGCUGUAACAGCUGCAACGUAAUUGAAGGAGAAGCAAUGAUCUUAGAAUGGAAGCACAUGCAGGAGCAUCACGUCCAGCCACAUCUAGAAGCACACUUUGAAUGGAGAAGAUCACGGUUCUGCUUGCACAUCAAAAGGAAGCUACAGGAGUUUGGAGUGGGUCACAAGGUUGAAGGAAUUUCUGAAAGCCUAAGCAAAAAGACAAACAUGGAGACCCUCAUCCUAUUUUCUCACGGGAACAAAUUGGGAGAUGCUCACGGGAGGAGACUAUUGGUGAGAGAAUUGGCUAUAAAAUGGAGAAGCAUCCAGGAGAGAAAACUCAGUAGAUUUAGGAGUAGGAGUAGUGUAGUGUAGAGAGCAAUUUACGUGAGCUUUCAUUUUUCCCCCUCCCCCUUUGGGGAGGUUUUGGGUUUGUUUUCCAGAUUGUUUUCCAGUUUGUUUUUCAGUUGAAUUUUAAUUUGCAGUGUGUUUUUCAGUCAA